RNAcentral lists this ribosomal RNA (251 nucleotides) under uncultured bacterium. RNAcentral describes it as "partial 16S ribosomal RNA". It matches the Rfam family "Bacterial small subunit ribosomal RNA", at positions 525 to 775 of the family's 1533-position model. The record is from RNAcentral.
ACGGAGGAUCCGAGCGUUAUCCGGAUUUAUUGGGUUUAAAGGGAGCGUAGAUGGAUGUUUAAGUCAGUUGUGAAAGUUUGCGGCUCAACCGUAAAAUUGCAGUUGAUACUGGAUAUCUUGAGUGCAGUUGAGGCUGGCGGAAUUCGUGGUGUAGCGGUGAAAUGCUUAGAUAUCACGAAGAACUCCGAUUGCGAAGGCAGCCUGCUAAGCUGCAACUGACAUUGAGGCUCGAAAGUGUGGGUAUCAAACAG